CUGGCUGUUGACUGUAUUUUCUGAUUUAUGGAGUGAUAAAAUUAAAUAUCCAAAAUCCCCUCUGUAAAAAAAACAUUUACAGUGAUAUUAGUAAAAUUUUUUACCUGUGGUGUCUUGCCUUUAAUAUAAAAUUGUUUUAAAAAACAUGAAUAGCUAAAAUGCUUUCAUGCUCACAAUGACAUGUACUAUAACAAGAGCUAAAGCUAUCACUGGCAUUGAUAUUGAUCUCCCAAAUGUUAACCUUGUUAACUUUUAAAAUUUAAUCUCACAUUGAUAGCAUUACAUUUUAUCUUUAACAAAUUCUUCUCCUAAGGUCAAAGGUUAGUGAAAAUCUUAUCAAUAGACAGGUAGAGCAAUAGAAAUGUCUGGAAUUAAAUGCAUUUGCAUUGAUAUGGGUGAGUUCGCUAUAAAGACCUUCAGUGUGAAAGGCAGCCAGAGUUAGAGCCUUCAGCUUGUUACCAGGAUGUUCUCUAAUGCUCUGCACAGAGAAGAGACUGAAGCAGCACUAUGGACCAGCACUGGGAGGAAACGUAUUAGAGAGCGAUUUCGUGCUACUUUGGCAGGACUCCUGGAGUUAGAGGUCCUGAGAGUCAGACACAAAAUAAUGGUGGAGACGGCCCUGGGAAAAACCAAAGUUGAUCCUAAAGAUUCAACGUCAACAAUUAUCCAGCAGAGACAGCAUGAUUACUUUGUGGAUAAAGACUCAUUCAGACUAAAGCUCAAGCGCAGUUUUUCUGAAGAGGCUGUUCACGAGGCUAGAAAAUCCAGUGGACUUUGGUCAUGUUCCAGUCAUUCAUCUGAAGACCUGCUUCAUCAUCAGUGUCUGACGGAAAGAAGCUGGCAUGACCAAGAACUUCACUCGCACAUGGAAAGUCAGUCAAGGGCAAGCUCAGGUUUUUGCGACUUUGGGAAUGUUUUUACCCCCUCUGACUGUGAUGAAACCAUCAGCUCUCUCUCCACCUCUUUGGCCUCCUUGAAAUACAAGAACACUCUCGGAGAUGGAGAAUGUUUCAUGGUUGAGGAACCUCAGAGGAGCCGACCCAUUUUAUUACGAAAGCACAGAGGAGUUCAAUUCUAUUUCUCAGAUGAGAUGAUUCCUAAAGAUGGUUUCCGAUUUGUGGUGGAUCUGUAUCCAGACUCGCACUGGCCAGAUAUUUCAGACAUAUUUCAACGCAAAGUUGUCUUGCAACCCACCUACCGUUCUGAUAUUCCAGGUCACCAGGGCAUGGAAGUGUAUCGCUAUCCCAGUCCACUGCAUGCUGUGGCCCUGCAAAGUCCACUAUAUGCACCAAAAAGCCCCCAGAACAACAGGAAAAAGAAUGGAAGACGUUAUUCUGGAAGCUCUACAUGCUCCUUACUGAGACCAGGCUUGAAGGUUUCAGAACAUUCCUGCUGUCUUGCAAAAUCCUAUUUAUCAUCC
Molecule: long non-coding RNA, 1420 nt
Filed under: Sinocyclocheilus anshuiensis
Lineage: Eukaryota; Metazoa; Chordata; Actinopteri; Cypriniformes; Cyprinidae
Description: lncRNA (ENSSANG00000048998.1)
Source: RNAcentral